GGGCCCGUAGUCCAGCGGUAGGACGCCGCCCUGGCACGGCGGAGGCCCCGGGUUCGAAUCCCGGCGGGUCCA
Molecule: transfer RNA, 72 nt
Organism: Nanoarchaeum equitans Kin4-M
Lineage: Archaea; Nanobdellati; Nanobdellota; Candidatus Nanoarchaeia; Nanoarchaeales; Nanoarchaeaceae
Rfam family: tRNA
About the family: Transfer RNA (tRNA) molecules are approximately 80 nucleotides in length. Their secondary structure includes four short double-helical elements and three loops (D, anti-codon, and T loops).
Source: Rfam